This 253-nucleotide unclassified non-coding RNA is filed under the name uncultured Chitinophagales bacterium. RNAcentral describes it as "contains 16S-23S intergenic spacer region". It matches the Rfam family "Bacterial small subunit ribosomal RNA", at positions 524 to 776 of the family's 1533-position model. Lineage: Bacteria; Pseudomonadati; Bacteroidota; Chitinophagia; Chitinophagales. The record is from RNAcentral.
UACGGAGGGUGCAAGCGUUAUCCGGAAUCACUGGGUUUAAAGGGUGCGUAGGCGGAAUAAUAAGUCAGGCGUGAAAGGUUACAGCUUAACUGUAGACUUGCGUUUGAUACUGUUAUUCUUGAAUUAAGAUGAGGUUGGCAGAAUGCGACAUGUAGCGGUGAAAUGCAUAGAUAUGUCGUAGAAUACCGAUUGCGAAGGCAGCCAACCGGACUUAAAUUGACGCUGAGGCACGAAAGCGUGGGGAGCGAACAGG